CUCUCUCUAUCAACCGUGUUUACCCAGCAGGUCCAGCGAGGUUCUGACAACUGUAGUUCUUCCCUUUAGGAGUGUGACCAGUGGUGUACAGUGAUCAGAUAGCCUUGUUAAACCUAAGUACUGUUUAUUUUAAACAGUAGAAACAAAGCAUUGUAGAAUUUAAAAACAACAAAAGGUCUAAACGUAACCAUCCUUGGUUAGUAACCUAGGCAGGCCUAACUUCAUACACCCCAGCAGGUGGCUGAGUCUCAGCCUAAUUCCUCUGAAAAAUAUCCCUGUCUCUCAAAAGAGAGUCUGUUGUUUUUUUAAUUGCAAUAGUAUUUUGAUCUUGUAUGUUCCCAGGCCUUUUCCUGCCUUGGCAUUGUCUUAACACCCUUACGUGUUUGCAGAAAAGUGGCUUAUCUUGAUUCAUUUUACCAUCCUGUUUGUUUUUCCUUACAGACUCUACAACACUAAACCAAUAUGUUCGCACAGUAAACAUCCCAAUAACCAGGUCAACAUACGGUAUUCAUAAACUGUGACAGCACAGUUCCAAUUCUGUCACUGCCUUUUCAGCAACUGACCAAGAGAUGUUAUUGACAUAGCUCUGUGCCCCAAGAGGAGUGGAUUAUAGCAUUUCUCAAACUUCUUUGCACCAUGACCCCCUUCUGAUAAUAAAAAUGACUACACAACCCCGGGAAAGAGGACUGAAGCCUGAGCCCCGCUGCCCUGGGGGCGGGGUGAAGCCGAAGCUUGAGGGCUUCAGCCCUGGGCAGGGGGAGCUCUAACUUGAGAGCCCUGCUGUCCAGGGCUGAAGCCCUCAGGUUUUUGCUUCAGCCCUGAGCAGUGGAGGUUCAGACUUUGGCUUCAGCCCUAGGCCCCAGCAAGUCUAACAGCAGCCCUGGCGACCCCAUUAAAAUGGGGUCAUGACCCACUUUUAGGUCCUACUCCACAGUUUGAGAACCGCUGGCGAGCAUUCUUCACUCUUUUCUAAGAGAUCUCAGGGCACUGGUAUUCUGUAGAUGCUCCUCUAUCCUAGUCUCUUUGUGACAGGAUGGAGUAGGCCCUGAGGCUCCACUGCAGGAGGCUUUGUGGUCCUGCCACAUCCUGCCCCAGAAAAGGAUAGUGGAGAGAGUCCUCAAGCUGCCUAGAGUGGCGGUGUGGGAUGCAGUCAAUCAGAGAGGAGCUGCAAUGGAACAGCCAAUCCGUGCCCAGCAGACCCAUAUAAAAGGAGCUGCAGUGCAGUGCAGAAUUCAGUUCCUUGCUGGAGAUGAAGAAGUGUGAAGGGUGUGCCUGCCUGAGGAAGCUACAGGAUCUUGGAUAGAGCAGUGCUAGCAGAGAGCUGGGGGAAUGAGGAGCUCUGGGCUGGUGGCUGGGACUCAACCAAGAUGAGGCAUUGAGGGCUGAGACACCGAAGAUUCACCACAAACUGAAUGAGAGAGUGAGUGCAGGCACAUGUACUUGGACAGGGGGCACUCGCAAGAGAUUGUGCAUUUUUCUUGCCUGACCCUGGAGGAAGAUAAACUUGCUGAAGUCUAAUCCAGGAAAGAUGGAGAUAUCAGACUGGCAUAAAUACCAAGGAUGAAGAGACUUUAUUUCAUAUUCCAUAAGAAGAUUGAUUGAUUGAUACAUGCUAUUUUAUAAAUAGAUCGUGUCUGUCUGUGUGCACAUGGGCUUUGACUAUCACACGGACGUUUCAGCACAGAUGGCAGUACGCAAACAAAACAAGGGAGAGUGUAAUAAAGGCGAGGCACAGAA
Mauremys reevesii (Reeves's turtle) is the source of this 1737-nucleotide long non-coding RNA. RefSeq lists it as uncharacterized. NCBI's taxonomy places the organism in Eukaryota, Metazoa, Chordata, Testudines, Geoemydidae. The transcript has 4 exons. The record is from RefSeq and is a predicted model, not a curated record.